RNAcentral lists this transfer RNA (59 nucleotides) under Ornithodoros hermsi. RNAcentral's name for it is "tRNA-Arg". The record is from RNAcentral. Lineage: Eukaryota; Metazoa; Arthropoda; Arachnida; Ixodida; Argasidae.
AUGAGUGAAGCAAAUAAUGCAUUCAAUUUCGACCUGAUUAUAGGGUAAACCCACUCUUA